UACGUAGGGUGCAAGCGUUGUCCGGAAUUAUUGGGCGUAAAGAGCUCGUAGGCGGUCUGUCGCGUCUGCUGUGAAAACUCAGGGCUUAACCCUGAGCUUGCAGUGGGUACGGGCAGACUAGAGUGCGGUAGGGGAGACUGGAAUUCCUGGUGUAGCGGUGAAAUGCGCAGAUAUCAGGAGGAACACCGGUGGCGAAGGCGGAUCUCUGGGCCAUAACUGACGCUGAGGAGCGAAAGCAUGGGGAGCGAACAGG
This 253-nucleotide ribosomal RNA is filed under the name uncultured bacterium. RNAcentral's name for it is "partial 16S ribosomal RNA". It matches the Rfam family "Bacterial small subunit ribosomal RNA", at positions 524 to 776 of the family's 1533-position model. The record is from RNAcentral.